RNAcentral lists this microRNA precursor (106 nucleotides) under Plutella xylostella (diamondback moth). Its description in RNAcentral is "microRNA pxy-mir-9b precursor (pxy-mir-9b-1, pxy-mir-9b-2)". Its record names the gene pxy-mir-9b-1. The stretch from base 25 to 84 matches the Rfam family "mir-9/mir-79 microRNA precursor family", at positions 1 to 62 of the family's 78-position model. Rfam says of the family: The mature ~21nt miRNAs are processed from hairpin precursor sequences represented here. miR-9 is processed from the 5' arm of its precursor, and miR-79 from the 3' arm. The bounds of the precursors are predicted based on conservation and base pairing and are not generally known. Lineage: Eukaryota; Metazoa; Arthropoda; Insecta; Lepidoptera; Plutellidae. The record is from miRBase by way of RNAcentral.
UGAAGCUGCAUGGGCGCGGCUCGGCUCUUUGGUAUCCUAGCUGUAGGCGUUUACGAAGCGGCCUAAAGUUAUGGUACCGAAGUCCCGGGCCUCGCCAUUCGCUACG